RNAcentral lists this unclassified non-coding RNA (10082 nucleotides) under Lytechinus variegatus (green sea urchin). Its description in RNAcentral is "probable phospholipid-transporting ATPase IM, transcript variant X1". The record is from RNAcentral. Lineage: Eukaryota; Metazoa; Echinodermata; Echinoidea; Temnopleuroida; Toxopneustidae.
UCAUGAAUAUUCACAAAUUGAUUAUUAUGAUUGAUUAUGGGUGUGCGGAGUGAAACGAAACUUUGAUUCUGGCGAGAUCUCAUUUUAACAGUCGAAAACUUUGGAUGAUUAUAAAAGGAUUUAUAUUUAUUUCAUGGAUUUUGCUGUGUGAAUUCUGAAGUACUAAGUAAGCUAAUUGCAAAUUAUCCAGAGAUGCUGAAUUAACAAUGCUUUGAUGAACUGAGAAGAAUCUACAGUAGCAAGCACAGCCAUGGGUGCAGAUGAGGAAACAGAACGGAUUGUGAAGGCCAAUGAUAGAAUCGCUAAUUCCAGAUUCAAAUAUGCGAAUAAUUACAUCAAGACGUCCAAGUACAACAUCUUCACCUUCCUUCCCAUCAACCUAUUUGAGCAGUUUUUGAGGAUAGCCAACUUUUAUUUUCUUGUACUCUUCAUCCUUCAAUUGAUUGGUCCUAUCUCAUCUCUAAGCCCUGUCACCACUGCGCUUCCAUUGGUUGUUGUGCUUGGAUUAACAGCUAUCAAAGAUGCAGUAGAUGACUUUAGGAGACAUAAAAGUGACAACCAAGUCAACAACAGAGAAUCUUUCAUCCUUGUCAAUGGAGAGCUUACAACUGUAAAAUGGCAGCAUGUUCAGGUGGGGGACAUCAUUCGAAUGAAGAAUAAUGACUUUAUCGCAGCUGACAUCUUACUCUUAUCAUCCAGCGAGCCUCACAGUCUGGUGUAUGUAGAGACGGCAGAGUUGGAUGGGGAAACGAAUCUGAAAGUAAGACAAGCUCUUCCUGAAACUUCAAAAUUAGGAGAGGAUCUAGAGAGACUGAGUGGUUUCCAAGGUGAAAUUCGCUGUGAGGCUCCCAACAAUGUCUUGGAUAAGUUUGACGGAGCAAUGUCUUGGGCUGGAGAUAGGUUUUCCCUUAACAAUGAUCAGAUCAUGCUUCGAGGGUGCAGAUUACGAAACACCGCAUGGUGUUAUGGUAUUGUUAUCUUCGCUGGUAAGGACACAAAGCUGAUGCAGAACAGCGGAAAGUCUAAAUUCAAGAGAACCAGUCUCGACAGACUACUCAACAAGAUGGUCAUUUUUAUCUUUGGCUUCCUGUUCACCAUGUGCGUGAUUUGCGCAAUCUUAUGCUCAGUGUGGGAGCUGAGAACCGGUAGCGAGUUCCAGGCCUACCUUCCUUGGGAGUACCAGAAUGCUGCCACCAUCUCUACACUUACCUUCUUCUCUUAUGUAAUCCUCCUCAACACCGUUGUGCCAAUCUCACUUUAUGUUACAGUGGAGAUGAUACGACUGUGUCAGAGUCUUCUUAUCAACUGGGAUGUCAAGAUGUACUAUGAUCCAAAGGAGACUGGAGCCAGGGCCAGGUCUACAACCCUCAAUGAAGAACUGGGCCAGAUACAGUAUGUCUUCUCAGACAAGACCGGGACUCUUACUCAGAAUAUGAUGACAUUCAACAAGGCUUCCAUUGGAGGAAGAAAGUUUGGAGAGGUGAAGGACAUCAAUGGGGAUGUCAUGGAUAUAACAGAGGACACACCCCUUGUUGAUUUCUCAUCUAAUACCAUGUGUGAGCCAGGAUUCAAGUUCUAUGAUCCCAGCCUACUUGAUUCUGUUCAGAGGGGUGAUAAACAUUGUUGGUUGUUCUUUCGUCUUCUAUCUCUCUGUCAUACUGUCAUGCCAGAAACUGAUGCUGAUGGUAAUCUUGCAUACCAAGCUCAAUCACCAGAUGAGGCAGCAUUGGUUGGAGCAGCCAGAAAUUUUGGCUUUGUUUUCAAGUCUCGUACACCAACCACCAUCACCCUGGUCGUACAGGGACAGGAAGAUGUCUAUGAACUCCUUCACAUCCUUGAUUUCAACAAUGUAAGGAAACGCAUGUCUGUCAUUGUCAAGCAGGGUCAGAAGAUCAAGCUCUUCUGUAAGGGUGCUGACACCGUCAUCUAUGAACGUCUUGGUUCAUCCAGUGAUGCCUUGAAGGAUGUAACCACUGAGCAUCUCAAUGACUUUGCUAACGAUGGUCUACGAACUCUUUGCUUAGCUAUGAAGGAGGUGGAUGAACACACUUAUUAUGAAUGGAGAAAGAGACACCAAGAAGCAUCUUUGGCAACAGUUGACAGAGAGUCCAAGCUAGAUGAGGUCUACAACGAGAUUGAACAAGACUUGGUUCUUCUUGGAGCUACUGCCAUUGAAGACAAACUUCAAGAUGGAGUUCCACAAACCAUCCAAAACUUACACAAGGCCAACAUCAAACUGUGGGUGUUGACCGGUGACAAGCAAGAGACUGCCAUCAACAUCGGGUACUCCUGCAACCUGUUGACGGAAGAUCUCAACGAGAUCUUCAUCAUCUCGGCAAAGGAGAAGGCGGAGGCUCGUGAGGAACUAGAGGGGGCGCUGUGCAAGAUCAAGGACGUGAUGGGUAUCAAGGAUAAGGACCAACUGGAUGAUGAUGUCUCCUACCAGAGCAAGGACAUUGAUGAGCUUGGAGAUAUCUACAGUUUUGCCAUUGUUGUAACAGGAGCUGCAUUGGCCCAUCUUCUCGACCCAGAGGUAGAACUCGACUUCCUAGAAGCAGCCUGCUACUGCAAGACAGUCAUCUGCUGCAGAGUGACCCCUCUACAGAAGGCUCAAGUAGUUGACCUGGUCAAGACUCACAGGAAUGCUGUCACUCUGGCCAUUGGUGAUGGAGCUAAUGAUGUCAGUAUGAUCAAGACUGCUCACAUUGGUGUUGGUAUCAGUGGUCAAGAAGGAAUGCAGGCCGUACUGUCCAGUGAUUUCUCCUUUGCUCAGUUCCGUUACCUAGAACGUCUUCUCCUCGUCCACGGUAGAUGGUCCUACUAUAGAAUGUGCAAGUUCCUCUCCUACUUCUUCUACAAAAACUUUGCCUUCACUGUCUGUCAUUUCUGGUUUGCAUUCUUCUGUGGUUACUCUGCUAUGACGGGCUAUGACCAGUGGUUCAUCACAGCUUACAAUACUAUCUUCACGUCUACUCCUGUUAUAUCACUUGGAAUAUUUGACCAGGAUGUGAAUGAUGAAAUGAGCAUUCGAUUCCCAGCACUCUAUAAACCAGGUCAGAAGAACAAAUUCUUCAACUGGUUUGUAUUCCUAAAAAGUCUUUUCCAAGGAGUCAUUACUUCACUCGCCUUGUUCUUCAUCCCAUAUGGUGCCUUGUCUGAGAAUCUGUCCCCUGAUGGUCAGCCUAUACACACACAGUUCCUCUUUGGCGCUAUUGUGGCGACUAUGCUUGUUCAUGUUGUCAACUUAAAGAUUGCGAUAGAUACUUCCUAUUGGACUGUCUUCAGUCACCUAUGUAUCUGGGGCAGCAUUGCCCUCUACUGGCUGUAUGCUCUUCUACUAUACUCUGAGCCCAUAUAUGAACUACUGAGGGCGACAUUUACCUAUGUUGGAGUCACAUUUGUUAUGUGUCGUCUGCCAACGUUCUGGUUCACCAUAGCUCUAUUGCCUGUCAUCCUCCUCUUUCCCGCUCUUGGAAGACGAUCGCUGGGCAUGGAUGUUGCGCCGACGUUGACAGACCGCGUGAGACUGCUCCAAAGGAAGGAGGCACGGGAGGCCAAGAAGGCGAAGGGAAAGGGAGACGUGGAGCUGACAAAGAUCCGAAACAAGAGUGCAAUCCCCUCAAGGAUCGGCUCUGCCCGACCAGGAUCUCGCAUGGGGAGCGGAAAGUCGCGACCUGGAUCGGUCCGCUCCGGUUACGCCUUCGCCCAUCAAGAAGGCUUCGGGGAGAUGAUCACUUCGGGGCGUAGUAUGCGUAUCAAGGAUCCACCAGAAAAGAACGGAACAACCGGUGGUGUCAAGAAAACAAAGAGCAAGGAGAAUGUGGAAGAGAAGAAGGAGAAUGGUGUUACUACGGUAACAGAUGAAGAAAUUAAUGAGAUAUUAGCAUAGUACCUACAAAUUAUGUCAUACAUGUCAUUUGGACCCAAAAGACUAUUAUUUCACAACACAGGUACAUGUAAUGUCCCUCUUCCUUGUAACAGUUUAUUUUUUAUAUUCAUGGUGUGUAAAGAAUUACUAGUAAUGUCUUAUAUUUAAUCCUAAAUGAAAAAAUCUUGGGUAAUUUUAUUCUUUUUGAUCUUAUUUAUCAUGAGCUAUUUCAUGAAAAUGAAAAGUGAUAUCAAUUUUAUUUAUAUCCCAUGCUUACAUGGUAAGUGUAUAUAUCAUUGCCUCUCCUCGCCCUGAAAAAGUGAAGACUUUAGUAAGUUGUAAUAGUCUUCUUGUUUGAUUGAAUUGAUGAUUAAAAUGAAUUUCGUAAUAGAACACUUAUCUAAUUAAAGUGACCAUCUAAUUUUUUAUAGUGCUCAGAAUGAAUAGUUUCAUUGACAUUGCCACAAAAAUUGUUGACAUUAAGAUUUUCAUAAUUUUAAGUAUUAUAUGGAGAUGUAUAUUCAAAGACCAAUCAUUCUAAUGAAAAUUACAAGGUAGUAAUUUAUUUUCGUAAACCUUGCAUUGUAUUGCAAUUCAUUUCUAAAGUGUAGAAAUUCCAGAAAGAUUGCUGUAAACAUUCUAAUUCAACCUACGACUGCUGUUGAUUUGUUGACAGCUCUUAAAAUGAAUGAAGUAUUAAGAUACAAUUGCCUUUUAUUGCUUUGAUACCAAAAUAUCAUACCGACCAGAAAGGUUUAUAAUCUUCUAGUGUACUGAUUAAAGUAAGAGAAAAACCAGGAUCCUGUUUCAUAAAACUUGUUACAAUAACAAAUCUCCAAUAACAGUUACAAGCUACUGAAAUCAUUCAAUUUGAUUGGCUGAUAACAAAUAUGUCAUAGAAUUUGGGCAGUUCUUAUUAUAAGUAGUUUUAUGAAAUGAGACCCAGUAGUUUUCCUCCAAACUUGCAAUGUCAGGUACAUUAUUCUUUUAUUUUAAGUUUUCACAGUUGGUACAGAUAAAAAAAAUUGUGUGUUCCGAUUUAUCCAGAUAUUACUUAGAUUGUUCUGGAAGCACAUCGUCAAAGGAGAUACAUGUAGUACAUGUAGAUCAAAAGAGGCCUUCUUUCUUUCGUAUACAGAAACAUUUGUCUCCACAAUGAUAUACUUAAAUCUACCAGAAGAGGAGAAUAUACAGUCAAUGAUAUAUUGUUGGUUAGUGUUUAUUUGGUGUUGGUGUCAGGAAUUUUGGUGUUAAGAGCUGUUGAUUCGAGUGCAAACACCAAAUUUGGGUUUAUAGACAUAAUGCCAAUCACAUUAUUUGUAGCUCGACACCUAGUUUAACACUGACUUCGCACCAGCUUCAUUACACAUCCAGUGUUAUAUCUGUUGCUAGUUUAUGUAAACCCUAACACCCUUUUUUAGCCACCCUGUGCUUGAUGAAACACUGGCUGAAUUUCAGGGAAAAUGGGGUUUUUUUAAACAAAGUGUGAACCUAAUAUAAUCAUGUGCCAAACAAAUUUAAGCUGAAACACUGUAUCCUACCAGCUGAUACAAAGUGCAUCAAUUAUUUCAAUAUUCAGUCUAUGUCGUGAGAUUUAAUAUUUCUGUCUUAUUUGAAAGCAGUUUCAUUUUCAACUUUGAUGAAAUGGUCAGUAUACACACGUCAGGGAACAUGUUUCAUAAAGAAGGUUAUUGACAAAUGUAAAGUUACUUUUAUAAGUUUAUGAAAUAAUGCAAUUUGAUUGGUAAAGAGCAAAUUUCAUCGAAUUAAAGAAGUUUCACUGAUACAAUGCUUGUGGUUAAUUUAAAUGUUUGAAAUAAAAAAAAGUUCCUUUCAAUAUCAAUCUAAUGAAUACACAUUGGUUGUUAUAAAUAUUAAUCAUAUCUUCAAUUUUGUUAGAUGCAUUUGUAAAUGAAGGAAAAGUUAUACUGACCAAAAGUUAAUAUCUGUAUAGAUAUAAUGGAAAGCUGUAUUCAAUUUCCUUCUAUGAUAAUGUAGACAAUUGCGACUGGACUAUUCAAUAUUUAUCAAACUUAUUGUUGAUUUUAUUUAUUACAUUUUCCUGCUGUUGGUAUUGACUUUUAUAAAAUGGCAAUUUCCAAAAUUAAAUUAUUUCCUUGAAAAACGUAGUACUUCACUCAAACCUAUGAUACCAGUGAUAUUAUAAAAAAGAACUUUGUUGGUCUUAAAACCAUUGCCUGUUUUUUUUUUCUUUUCUUUUUUUGUGGGGUCAUAUAGCAUUUCAAUUGAAUUUCAAUGAGAACCAAAAUACUAGUUACUAGUUUUCUUAUAACCUUACACAAAUAUUUUACCAAUAUCAAAUAAUUUUUAAGGAUUUUUUUUUUUGAGGGGGGAAUCUUAUUUGUAAUUUUUUUUUUGGUAACUGCAUUAUUUUGGAGAACCAGGAAUUACAUUUUAAUUGAAUGACAAUGAAUUAUGUCUAUAAAACAUAUGAAGUAACUUUAUAAUGCCAACACAAAAUGAAAUCAAAAGAUUAUAUGACGCUAUGUAUCUUUAUUACAUUCUCAUCCUUCAUUAAAAAAUGUAAUGAAUACUAUUGUGUUGUGAUGAAACCACGUCUAAUUGCAAAGUCAAUUGAAAACCCAGUCUAAGUUUUUAAAGGCAUUUGUGUUGAUACAGUUAAUAUCCUACAAUUAUUUGCCCUAUUAGAAAGUUUAACAGUACUGAAGCAUGACCAAAUAACAUCAUCAUUCAUUACAGUUGGUAGAUUUUGAAAGAGUUUGUUUUGAUGAGGCGACUCCAUGUAAUUUACAGUCAUAAUCCAAACCUGUCUACAUGUUGCUUAUGUAUGCCCUGUGCACUUUCCACCCCUUGAUAAAUAUAAACAGUAUAAUUGCAUGUAUCAAUAUAUCUCUUGAAUUAUGGCUGCGCAGUGUCACACAUUUGUGUCUUUGAUCAGGUGUUGUGAGUAUGCAAUAUUGUCAAACAAUGUCUGCAUUAAUCCUUUCAACACAAUUUAACAAUAUAUUCCAUAUACCAUAGCCUCAUUAAACACAAUAUUUCUCUACAUUACCAUGAGAGUAGCUGAGCCUCGUGGUCAUAAUAUUUUGAUACAAGUAGAAUAUCAUGUUGCCCUAAUAAUGAAUGUAUUCUUUACUGAUAUUUAGCUUAUGCCUGAUCUUUCAUUUUGCAGAUCUAUUGAUAAUAAAAAGUGCUGCCGAAUGAGGUCACCAUAUUCUAGAAAUAGCAUGUUUGCAUGUUCCAAAUAGCUUUCAAGUGAAGAAUGUACAUACAUAGCAAGACCUAGGAUUAAAUUGACAAUGUCCUCGCAUAGUCUCCUUCAAUGCAAGUAGUUAGUAAAUAAUGCUUUUCAUUUUAUGUGGGGACAUUUCAAAUAAUCAUGAAAGACGAUUUCCAAUGGUUUGUGCUUGGUGUAGGAAUGCUUAAAUUUGCCAUUCUGCAAAAGCCUUAAUUACAAAAAACUUUGUAACAAGUCAGGAGUUCUAUUGGUUUAUGUUCAUAGAAGUGUUGUGAAAUGUCUUUAGAUCUGCAAUUGUGUCUUUCAAUCUUUCACUACUCAGAUUUAUUUGAUUCGCUGAAUGAUAAUUUUAGAUAAUGCUGAAAAUCAUGGGACUUUCACUGCAAAAACUGUCAAAUAUAUAAUGUUUUCAAAGCAUGACUGCUAACUGGUACUGCACACAUAAUGGAAGUCGAGUGAAAUAUGAUCCUGUACUUACUUUUUCAUUCCAGAAAUGAAAUAUACUCAACUUUGAUAAUUGAGAAUUCAGUCCUGGAGUAUUUGUUGUAACAAGGAUAAGACAACAACUUAAUAUAUAUUUGAUGCAUAAGAAUAAAAAAUCUACCUCCCCUGGUAUUGGCUGUACAUGAAUUAUCAAAAUUAGAAGUGGCUCAACUUUUGAUUUGUGCCCAUCAUAUCUUGUUUAUUUCCACAUUUACAAUUGAAAUGAAUUUGGGUAUAAUCAAUACUUGUAUUCAUAUAAUAAUUUUCAUCAAGGUAUUUUCGGAAAUACAUUAUGUGAAUGGGUGCACCGUGCUAUGUAUGACAAGCUCCAUACCUAUACUACAUGCAAAUGUUCAAACAUGAUGGCAAAUCAAAUUUUGUUAUUCUACUGUUCCAUGAAAUAAAAUUGUCAAGUUGGAAGCGAUCAGGACAAAACUGUAAGGCACUUCUUUCUAAAAUUUUGUAUCAUGAGAUUAGAUUGCUAGAGUAAUUUAAAGAUGUAAAUCAUUUCAUAUUUGUUAUGUUAUAACAAGUAGAGGCUGUCAAAGAAUUUGCUAUUUUUCCUUGAAUAUUGAAGGUAUAUUUUUCAUUGUAUAUUCAAAUUAAUUUGUACAGUGAAAUCUUGGUUGAAGAACUGUUAUUCUUAUUGUUUUCCUAUUAGACAUGAUUCAACUUGCUGUACAUGGUUAUCAGUUAUUUUGCAAUCCUAGAUUAUGUGAUGUUUCUUCAAGCUUGACUUACAAUUAAGAGUAUGUAAGCAUCAUCAAUUUGGAACAUGUCAAAUACCAAACUUUAAAUGUAAUAUUAUAGAUUCAGUCAAAUCUAGAGUGGUACAUCAUAAAAUCUGUUUUGGUUGUACAUGUACAUUUAGUCGGCAACCGAUAUGGAAACAAUGAAAUAUAAGCUUUUAUAUUUGUAUGCAUAUAGAAUGCUCACAUUUUGAAGUGUAAGUAAGAUCUUGCUUGGCAGUAUUUUAUUUCCAAGAGAUGUGAAAUCAGUUAAUGUGAAUAUAAUGCUGCCCAAAUCUUACACCCCCUAACAUAUGAUUGAUUAGCAUGUAAAGAAUCUUAAAAUCUUUUAAAUCCCUCCAUUUUUGUCCACUAAAUUGAGGUUAAAGUCAUUCUCUUAUGACCGGGAAUUCAAGAUAUCUGCUGUAAAUCUUUAUGCAUAUUGAAAACACCUUUGUUAUGCAUGUACUUCUCGGAUAAUUCUACAAUUAGUAAACUGCAUAACUGCCUGCAGAAAAAUUUCUAAUACAUGUACAUACAUAUCUUUCACAAAGAUUCUACACUGAGUUAUCUUUUCUUUUUGUACACAAGGUGAAAACUUAAAUUUUGUUUGGGUACAAUAUAUAGUCUUGCUAAGGCUUCUGUACCUCAUCGUAGUGAAUUUCGUUUUACUUUUUUCCUAUCCCCAGUAUAAUUUUCAAAGAAAUUUCUGUUGUGUUUAUAUAUUCAUAUGAUUUUCAUUGUGCCUUCGUGGGCUCUUCUCCUGCACCAAGUCGAUCAAAGAUUUUUUUCACAGAAUUUCUCAACCUUGUACGAUUUCUCGCUGAAUAUGAUAAUAGGAAAUGAUGCCUUGAUCAAAAUAAUUCUUUAUACAAUUAGAUCAUCAGCGGAUUUUUAGGCUGAAUUUUAUAUAUAUUUGAAUCAUAGAUGUGUACAUUAUAGAGCAUAUGGUGAUGCGGUAUUUAGGUGCACUAUGCACUGUGGUCAUUGGUAGUUUAUUUGUUUUAAAAAGUAUUAAUUAGAGGCUAUAUAUAAAUCACACCUAAAUGUAUAACAUGUUUUACCAGUAAGUUAAAAUAGAGGCUGUGAUGUAGUGAUUUUUGCUGAAUAUGGGUUUUUUUUAACAAAGAUGUUUAAUUUUGUAUCAUACUAUUUGUUAAUAAGCUAUGUCUUCAUUAGAAUGUAUAUGGCAUAAGUACAUGUAAAGUAAGUGAAUUGUGAAAGAUUUUAACAAGAAUCCUCAUAUAUUGAGGCUUGCUGUACUAAGGAGUUCCUAAUAACAUCUUCAAAAUGUUUAUUCAUCAGUUGACAAACUCUGGUCAGGAGUGUGAAAAACAACUGUCACAAAUAUUUAUGGUUGAAAUUGACUGUUGGUUCUUUCUGAGCAUGAUAGGAUUGUGUUCUCUCAGUUUAACUGGGUUUUCACUUUACAGACUUGUGAUUUAAUUCUGUGUCAACUAUGGAAAGCCAGUGUUUCCAUCAUGUGUCUUGUUUGAGUAUGUCGGCGCAUAUGAAGUGCUCUUGAAGAUGUACCCAUGUGCAUCCCUCUUUAACCGUGCUCUUUUCGUUUUUUUAACUUGAGUGCAUGCAGAACUUUUCUCAACUAUAACUUAUGGAGCAACUGGCCUUCCAUAGCUGAUUUGAAUCCAUUGCAACAUUCUAUAUGACUGGCCUGUUCACUCAUUAAAAGAAAGGUAGAACUCAGCAUUACAUGUGAAUUAUGUGCGUGGAAGGUGAGCUUUGUCUUUCACUUAUACUAUCAAAAUGCUGGCAAAAAAUAUGA